Bos taurus (domestic cattle) is the source of this 469-nucleotide long non-coding RNA. The record is from Ensembl. NCBI's taxonomy places the organism in Eukaryota, Metazoa, Chordata, Mammalia, Artiodactyla, Bovidae.
CUGGGUCCUUGUCUUCCUGGAAUGUUCCUUGGAGGACCAUCUGAGAAUCAUUCUAUUGCACAUGAAAGAAAAACCCACUCAAAUUGUGGCAGACAAAACUAUUGCACAGUGCCUCCCAGUGAUGCUGGCCCGUCGGGUGCUGCCAGGCCCCCAGCGUCUCCCCGCACACGUCCAGGUCUGCCUUUCCACAGAAAGUUGGGAAAUAGAAAUUCUGACUUUUUCAGCUGCAUUACAAAGCAUAAACAUGAAGUCUGAAACCACAAUCAUGUUUGCACCAGCCUAACAGAUAGCAUCACUAUCUCAAUGGAUCUGAAUCUGAGCAAACUCUGGGAGAUAGUGGAGGACAGAGGAGCCUGGUGUGCUGCAGUCUACAGAGUCAUAAAGAGUUGGACAUGACUUAGCAGCUGAACAACAAAUUCAUUAUGGACAUAUUCUUAACACCUGAUAUAAGGUAAUUAGCAGCCCAAAG